Molecule: ribosomal RNA, 557 nt
Filed under: uncultured bacterium
Lineage: Bacteria
Description: bacterial SSU rRNA
Rfam family: Bacterial small subunit ribosomal RNA
Source: RNAcentral
CCUACGGGAGGCAGCAGUGGGGAAUCUUGCACAAUGGAGGAAACUCUGAUGCAGCGAUGCCGCGUGAGUGAAGAAGGCCUUUGGGUUGUAAAGCUCUUUUGUAGGGGAAGAUAAUGACUGUACCCUAAGAAUAAGGUCCGGCUAACUUCGUGCCAGCAGCCGCGGUAAUACGAAGGGACCUAGCGUAGUUCGGAAUUACUGGGCGUAAAGCGCGCGUAGGCCGUUGAGUUAGUUAAUUGUGAAAUCCCAAAGCUUAACUUUGGAACUGCAAUUAAAACUACUCGACUAGAGUUUGAUAGAGGAAAGCGGAAUACAUAGUGUAGAGGUGAAAUUCGUAGAUAUUAUGUAGAACACCAGUUGCGAAGGCGGCUUUCUGGAUCAACACUGACGCUGAGGCGCGAAAGUAUGGGUAGCAAAGAGGAUUAGAUACCCUCGUAGUCCAUACCAUAAACGAUGAUUGCUAGAUGUUGGAAAUUUAUUUUCAGUAUCGCAGCUAACGCAUUAAGCAAUCCGCCUGGGGAGUACGACCGCAAGGUUAAACUCAAAGGAAUUGACGG